AUUGAACGCUGGCGGCAGGCCUAACACAUGCAAGUCGAACGAGUGGCGGACGGGUGAGUAAUGUCUGGGAAACUGCCUGAUGGAGGGGGAUAACUACUGGAAACGGUAGCUAAUACCGCAUACCAUCGGAUGUGCCCAGAUGGGAUUAGCUAGUAGGUGGGGUAACGGCUCACCUAGGCGACGAUCCAGAGCGGGUCUGAGAGGAUGACCAGCCACACUGGAACUGAGCCACGGUCACGACUCCGACGGUAGGCAGCAGUGGGGAAUUUGGCACAAUGGGCGCAAGCCUGAUGCAGCCAGGCCGCGUGUAUGAAGAAGGCCUUCGGGUUGUAAAGUACUUUCAGCGGGGAGGCGUUACCCGCAGAAGAAGCACCGGCUAACUCCGUGCCAGCAGCCGCGGUAAUAC
RNAcentral lists this ribosomal RNA (406 nucleotides) under uncultured bacterium. Its description in RNAcentral is "partial 16S ribosomal RNA". It matches the Rfam family "Bacterial small subunit ribosomal RNA", at positions 29 to 526 of the family's 1533-position model. The record is from RNAcentral.